This 22-nucleotide unclassified non-coding RNA is filed under the name Candidatus Liberibacter asiaticus. Its description in RNAcentral is "partial 16S-23S ribosomal RNA intergenic spacer". The record is from RNAcentral. Lineage: Bacteria; Pseudomonadati; Pseudomonadota; Alphaproteobacteria; Hyphomicrobiales; Rhizobiaceae.
UGCGGCUGGAUCACCUCCUUUC